ACGGAGUGCGUAACGCGUGGGAAUCUGCCCUUGGGUUCGGAAUAACUCGCCGAAAGGCGUGCUAAUACCGGAUGAUGUCGUAAGACCAAAGAUUUAUCGCCCAAGGAUGAGCCCGCGUAAGAUUAGCUAGUUGGUGGGGUAAAGGCCCACCAAGGCGACGAUCUUUAGCUGGUCUGAGAGGAUGAUCAGCCACACUGGGACUGAGACACGGCCCAGACUCCUACGGGAGGCAGCAGUGGGGAAUAUUGGACAAUGGGCGAAAGCCUGAUCCAGCAAUGCCGCGUGAGUGAUGAAGGCCUUAGGGUUGUAAAGCUCUUUUACCCGGGAUGAUAAUGACAGUACCGGGAGAAUAAGCUCCGGCUAACUCCGUGCCAGCAGCCGCGGUAAUACGGAGGGAGCUAGCGUUGUUCGGAAUUACUGGGCGUAAAGCGCACGUAGGCGGCUUUGUAAGUCAGAGGUGAAAGCCUGGAGCUCAACUCCAGAACUGCCUUUGAGACUGCAUCGCUUGAAUCCAGGAGAGGUGAGUGGAAUUCCGAGUGUAGAGGUGAAAUUCGUAGA
Molecule: ribosomal RNA, 558 nt
Filed under: alpha proteobacterium StRD733
Lineage: Bacteria; Pseudomonadati; Pseudomonadota; Alphaproteobacteria
Description: bacterial SSU rRNA
Rfam family: Bacterial small subunit ribosomal RNA
Source: RNAcentral